AUUGAACGCUGGCGGCAUGCCUAACACAUGCAAGUCGAACGGCAGCACGGCAGUAGCAAUACUGUGGGUGGCGAGUGGCGGACGGGUGAGGAAUACGUCGGAAUCUGCCCAGUCGUGGGGGAUAACUAGCCGAAAGGUUAGCUAAUACCGCAUACGACCGAGAGGUGAAAGCGGGGGACCGCAAGGCCUCGCGCGAUUGGAUGAGCCGACGUCGGAUUAGCUAGUUGGAGGGGUAAAGGCCACCAAGGCGACGAUCCGUAGCUGGUCUGAGAGGAUGAUCAGCCACACUGGAACUGAGACACGGUCCAGACUCCUACGGGAGGCAGCAGUGGGGAAUAUUGGACAAUGGGCGCAAGCCUGAUCCAGCAAUGCCGCGUGUGUGAAGAAGGCCUCGGUU
This 397-nucleotide ribosomal RNA is filed under the name uncultured bacterium. RNAcentral describes it as "bacterial SSU rRNA". It matches the Rfam family "Bacterial small subunit ribosomal RNA", at positions 29 to 424 of the family's 1533-position model. The record is from RNAcentral.